UUAAGCGACUAAGCGUACACGGUGGAUGCCCUGGCAGUCAGAGGCGAUGAAGGACGUGCUAAUCUGCGAAAAGCGUCGGUAAGGUGAUAUGAACCGUUACAGCCGGCGAUGUCCGAAUGGGGAAACCCAGUGCAAUUCGUUGCACUAUCGUUUGAUGAAUACAUAGUCAAACGAGGCGAACCGGGGGAACUGAAACAUCUAAGUACCCCGAGGAAAAGAAAUCAACCGAGAUUCCCCCAGUAGCGGCGAGCGAACGGGGAGCAGCCCGGAGUCUGAAUCAGCUUGUGUGUUAGUGGAAGCGUCUGGAAAGUCGCAGGGUACAGGGUGAUACUCCCGUACACUAAAACACACAGGCUGUGAACUCGAAGAGUAGGGCGGGACACGUGGUAUCCUGUCUGAAUAUGGGGGGACCAUCCUCCAAGGCUAAAUACUCCUGACUGACCGAUAGUGAACCAGUACCGUGAGGGAAAGGCGAAAAGAACCCCGGCGAGGGGAGUGAAAAAGAACCUGAAACCGUGUACGUACAAGCAGUAGGAGCCCACUAGUUGGGUGACUGCGUACCUUUUGUAUAAUGGGUCAGCGACUUAUAUUCUGUAGCAAGGUUAACCGUAUAGGGGAGCCGCAGGGAAACCGAGUCUUAACUGGGCGUUAAGUUGCAGGGUAUAGACCCGAAACCCGGUGAUCUAGCCAUGGGCAGGUUGAAGGUUGGGUAACACUAACUGGAGGACCGAACCGACUAAUGUUGAAAAAUUAGCGGAUGACUUGUGGCUGGGGGUGAAAGGCCAAUCAAACCGGGAGAUAGCUGGUUCUCCCCGAAAGCUAUUUAGGUAGCGCCUCGUGAACUCAUCUUCGGGGGUAGAGCACUGUUUCGGCUAGGGGGUCAUCCCGACUUACCAACCCGAUGCAAACUACGAAUACCGAAGAAUGUUAUCACGGGAGACACACGGCGGGUGCUAACGUCCGUCGUGAAGAGGGAAACAACCCAGACCGCCAGCUAAGGUCCCAAAGUCAUGGUUAAGUGGGAAACGAUGUGGGAAGGCCCAGACAGCCAGGAUGUUGGCUUAGAAGCAGCCAUCAUUUAAAGAAAGCGUAAUAGCUCACUGGUCGAGUCGGCCUGCGCGGAAGAUGUAACGGGGCUAAACCAUGCACCGAAGCUGCGGCAGCGACACUAUGUGUUGUUGGGUAGGGGAGCGUUCUGUAAGCCGUUGAAGGUGGCCUGUGAGGGUUGCUGGAGGUAUCAGAAGUGCGAAUGCUGACAUAAGUAACGAUAAUGCGGGUGAAAAACCCGCACGCCGGAAGACCAAGGGUUCCUGUCCAACGUUAAUCGGGGCAGGGUGAGUCGACCCCUAAGGCGAGGCCGAAAGGCGUAGUCGAUGGGAAACAGGUUAAUAUUCCUGUACUUGGUGUUACUGCGAAGGGGGGACGGAGAAGGCUAUGUUGGCCGGGCGACGGUUGUCCCGGUUUAAGCAUGUAGGCGGAUGUUCCAGGUAAAUCCGGAACGUCAUUAACGCUGAGGUGUGAUGACGAGGCACUACGGUGCUGAAGUGACAAAUGCCCUGCUUCCAGGAAAAGCCUCUAAGCAUCAGGUAACAUCAAAUCGUACCCCAAACCGACACAGGUGGUCAGGUAGAGAAUACCAAGGCGCUUGAGAGAACUCGGGUGAAGGAACUAGGCAAAAUGGUGCCGUAACUUCGGGAGAAGGCACGCUGAUGGUAGGUGAAGCGACUUGCUCGUGGAGCUGAAAUCAGUCGAAGAUACCAGCUGGCUGCAACUGUUUAUUAAAAACACAGCACUGUGCAAACACGAAAGUGGACGUAUACGGUGUGACGCCUGCCCGGUGCCGGAAGGUUAAUUGAUGGGGUUAUCCUCGCGGAGAAGCUCUUGAUCGAAGCCCCGGUAAACGGCGGCCGUAACUAUAACGGUCCUAAGGUAGCGAAAUUCCUUGUCGGGUAAGUUCCGACCUGCACGAAUGGCGUAAUGAUGGCCAGGCUGUCUCCACCCGAGACUCAGUGAAAUUGAACUCGCUGUGAAGAUGCAGUGUACCCGCGGCAAGACGGAAAGACCCCGUGAACCUUUACUAUAGCUUGACACUGAACACUGGUCCUUGAUGUGUAGGAUAGGUGGGAGGCUUUGAAGUGUGGACGCCAGUCUGCAUGGAGCCAUCCUUGAAAUACCACCCUUUAAUGGCUGGUGUUCUAACGUGGGCCCCUAAUCGGGGUUGCGGACAGUGUCUGGUGGGUAGUUUGACUGGGGCGGUCUCCUCCUAAAGAGUAACGGAGGAGCACGAAGGUCAGCUAAUCCUGGUCGGACAUCAGGAGGUUAGUGCAAUGGCAUAAGCUGGCUUGACUGCGAGCGUGACGGCGCGAGCAGGUGCGAAAGCAGGUCAUAGUGAUCCGGUGGUUCUGAAUGGAAGGGCCAUCGCUCAACGGAUAAAAGGUACUCCGGGGAUAACAGGCUGAUACCGCCCAAGAGUUCAUAUCGACGGCGGUGUUUGGCACCUCGAUGUCGGCUCAUCACAUCCUGGGGCUGAAGUAGGUCCCAAGGGUAUGGCUGUUCGCCAUUUAAAGUGGUACGCGAGCUGGGUUUAGAACGUCGUGAGACAGUUCGGUCCCUAUCUGCCGUGGGCGCUGGAGAAUUGAGGGGGGCUGCUCCUAGUACGAGAGGACCGGAGUGGACGCAUCACUGGUGUUCGGGUUGUCAUGCCAAUGGCAUUGCCCGGUAGCUAAAUGCGGAAGAGAUAAGUGCUGAAAGCAUCUAAGCACGAAACUUGCCCCGAGAUGAGUUCUCCCUGACUCCUUGAGAGUCCUGAAGGAACGUUGAAGACGACGACGUUGAUAGGCCGGGUGUGUAAGCGCAGCGAUGCGUUGAGCUAACCGGUACUAAUGAACCGUGAGGCUUAACCUU
This 2904-nucleotide ribosomal RNA is filed under the name Klebsiella oxytoca. RNAcentral describes it as "bacterial LSU rRNA". It matches the Rfam family "Bacterial large subunit ribosomal RNA". Lineage: Bacteria; Pseudomonadati; Pseudomonadota; Gammaproteobacteria; Enterobacterales; Enterobacteriaceae. The record is from RNAcentral.